Molecule: ribosomal RNA, 254 nt
Filed under: uncultured bacterium
Lineage: Bacteria
Description: partial 16S ribosomal RNA
Rfam family: Bacterial small subunit ribosomal RNA
Source: RNAcentral
UACGUAGGUGGCAAGCGUUGUCCGGAAUUAUUGGGCGUAAAGCGCCGCGCAGGCGGUUCCUUAAGUCUGAUGUGAAAGCCCCCGGCUCAACCGGGGAGGGUCAUUGGAAACUGGGGAACUUGAGUGCAGGAGAGGAAAGCGGAAUUCCACGUGUAGCGGUGAAAUGCGUAGAUAUGUGGAGGAACACCAGUGGCGAAGGCGGCUUUCUGGUCUGUAACUGACGCUGAGGCGCGGAAGCGUGGGGAGCAAACAGG